This 253-nucleotide ribosomal RNA is filed under the name uncultured bacterium. RNAcentral describes it as "partial 16S ribosomal RNA". It matches the Rfam family "Bacterial small subunit ribosomal RNA", at positions 524 to 776 of the family's 1533-position model. The record is from RNAcentral.
UACGUAGGGUGCGAGCGUUAAUCGGAAUUACUGGGCGUAAAGCGUGCGCAGGCGGCUUUGCAAGACAGAUGUGAAAUCCCCGGGCUCAACCUGGGAACUGCAUUUGUGACUGCAAGGCUCGAGUACGGCAGAGGGGGAUGGAAUUCCGCGUGUAGCAGUGAAAUGCGUAGAUAUGCGGAGGAACACCAAUGGCGAAGGCAAUCCCCUGGGCCUGUACUGACGCUCAUGCACGAAAGCGUGGGGAGCAAACAGG